CCAUGCCAUCUCACAAACAAGCCCUAAGGCAACGACUAUUAAAUCAACUCGUAGCCCCUGCAAAUCCAAGCCUUGCUCUAAUUUGCUGCUCAUCCUACCACCUACAACAUUGUUCUCUUUUCAAAUCUCUAGAAAACUAUAUCUAUCGCUAUAAUAAAAUGAUCAUCUAUCUAAAACUACACAAUCCCAAGUAUCACAUCUCCACAUUCCUACCUUCGAAACUUCACUUACAAAAUGUAUUCAAACAACUAGUACAUAUAUUGUCAUACUUCUUCCCUUUCAUUAGCACCA
Molecule: long non-coding RNA, 291 nt
Filed under: Elaeis guineensis (African oil palm)
Lineage: Eukaryota; Viridiplantae; Streptophyta; Magnoliopsida; Arecales; Arecaceae
Description: long non-coding RNA (EGUI_LNC024328)
Source: RNAcentral